AGAGCGAACGCUGGCGGCAGGCCUAACACAUGCAAGUCGAGCGCGUGUAGCAAUACACGAGCGGCAGACGGGAGAGUAACACGUGGGAACGCGCCCUUCGGUUCGGAAUAACUCAGGGAAACUUGAGCUAAUACCGGAUACGCCCUUACGGGGAAAGAUUUAUUGCCGAAGGAACGGCCCGCGUCCGAUUAGCUAGUUGGUGAGGUAACGGCUCACCAAGGCGACGAUCGGUAGCUGGUCUGAGAGGAUGACCAGCCUCACUGGGACUGAGACACGGCCCAGACUCCUACGGGAGGCAGCAGUGGGGAAUAUUGGACAAUGGGCGCAAGCCUGAUCCAGCCAUGCCGCGUGGAUGAUGAAGGCCUUAGGGUUGUAAACCUCUUUCGACCGGGACGAAGCGUGAGUGACGGUACCGGUAGAAGAAGCACCGGCUAACUACGCGCCAGCAGCCGC
RNAcentral lists this ribosomal RNA (453 nucleotides) under uncultured bacterium. Its description in RNAcentral is "SSU rRNA". It matches the Rfam family "Bacterial small subunit ribosomal RNA", at positions 26 to 518 of the family's 1533-position model. The record is from RNAcentral.